UGUGUGUGCUUGUACUUGUCUCCAAGUGAGAACCAAGAAACGUAUAUUCCUACCAAACUGAGGACAUUUUGACAAAGUGAGGCCAUUUUGGCCGGUCUCCAAUUCUUUAAAGGCCUGUUUGAGGGUUAAGAUUUUAGGGCAGGGGUUAGAAUUGAGUUUUGGUUCAGAUUAGAGACAAGGUUAGACGUCUGUCUGUAGCUUUGGUAAAGGAUGGGACAGUGAUCUCUCCUCAAUUAUCCUCCUCCUUCACCUGAUUCCUCCUUCCGCCCAAGGCCAUAAAAGACCAGGCAGAGUGUCGGCAUCCCAAGCGGAGAAGCAUUUUGUUGUGUUCAAGAAGAGUGGAACAAGUAUCGAAGAACACGUGGAUUCUAUCAACACUAGUAAGCAGCCCUAUCUACUUGCUCUCGGCACGAAGAGGAGCACCAUCCACAAGUUCAUCAUCAUUCUGGACAAGCAGGUUAUACCGUGCAAAUCAACAACCUCUCUUGGGGCGUUUGAUGAGUUGUUCAAAGCACACUUUGUGUUUGGCACUACGUAUAAUCAGAUGCUGCACAACAUGUACACCUUCAUACAGACGACCAUCUUCCAAAUAGAUAUUGGCAAAGUUCGUGAGAGCCCACGUGUGGCAGAGAUUAGGGCAAGGCUGUUACACUAGACAAUGCAUUCACUAAAAUGUAAGCAACCUAUUUGUUGCUCAUCUAUCUAUGGGAUUUUUAUUUUAUUUGUAAUUUUUUGUUGAUGUUGGUUAUUACAUUUGUCUUUUAAUACAAUGGGUCUGAUUUGUUUUGUUUGCCAGACUACUUUUGGCAGUACAAACUUGCUUGUGAGACAUAUGCGAUUGAUUCAUGGAUUUCACCCUGGUAAAUCACUUCGCCUAAAGUGUGGUCAGGCAGGGUGCUGCCAUUUUUUUUGGUACCUUUGCAGGCUUAAGGAAACAUUUAAACACGCGACAUGCUCAAGAAAUUGCAGGGCAUGGGGUCAGAAGUCACACUGUAGCCUGUGAUAAUGUUCCAGAUAAUGUUCUGUCCCAUGAUGUUGAAGCAGCCGGUAGCUCCCAAGACAGUAGCUCUCAAGACCUAUCAGGGACCAACAGAAGCAUUCGUGAUAUGUGUGGUUCUGCUAUUGCACAGCUUCAAGUUUCUGGUGUUGGCCAGUCUUCAUUGAAUAGUUUUGUUCUGUCCAUGGAGGAAGUGGCACUGGAGAUACAGAGUCAGGCUAAAGAAGCAGCCUUAAAAUGUGUGCAUUCACAGGAUACUAGUACAAAAGCUAAAAUUGAGCAAAGAUGUAAAAUCCUUUUACAUCAAUGAAUUCAGAUUCGAAGCGAAGCCUUUAUUUUAAAGAAAAAUAUAAAACUAUUGAGCCAGAGGAGAAAGUACUUGGUGUCAGAUUUGAGAACAGAAGAAAUAGAUGUACUGGAACUUAUGAUCAGGUAGUUGUUACAGAUAAAUUUGCUUAUGUUCCAAUUUUACAAACACUGCAGUCAAUUCUAAGUAAUCCACAUCUUAGUGAUAUCUUUACAUCUAGUCACACUCCAAAUGAUGGUGUAUAUUGUGAUAUAAAAGAUGGGUUGUAUAUGAAAAGGCAUCCUCUUUUUUCAAGCAAAAAUUUGGCAUUGCAAAUUCAAUUAUUUUAUGAUGAAUUCGAGACCGCUAAUCCUCUUGGAUCCAAAAAAGGUGUCCAUAAAUUGGGAGGUAUAUACUUUACAUUGAGAAAUUUUCCACCAAAGUUAAAUUCAUGUUUAGUCAACAUACAUUUGUGUGCACUUUUUCAUGCCCAAGAAAUUAAAACCUAUGGAUUUGACACUAUACUUGAGCCAAUAAUCAAUGACUUGAAAGUGCUGGAAACUGAUGGGAUUGAAGUUCCUGUGCUCAAAAGUCCUGUUCAUGGCAGCAUUGUACAAGUAACAGGGGAUAAUCUUGGUUUACAUGGACUGUUUGGGUUAGUAGAAUCAUUCAGUGCUCGGAAUUGUUGUCGAUUUUGUGUCAUAGACAAAAGUGAUUUUCAGACGGUUUUCUGUAAAGAUGACCAGAGUGUAUUAUUUCGAACAAAAGACAUGCAUGAAAAGCAUUGCCAUACUCUACAAACAAAUCCACAGCUGUAUGUGGUGUUAAGCGUUCAUGUUCAUUGAAUUCUCUGAAAUAUUUUCACACAAUUGAUAAUUUUUCUGUUGACAUAAUGCAUGAUAUUCUUGAAGGAGUUGCACAGUUUGAAGUGAAACUUAUCUUGGAGUAUUUGCAGAAGAACAUCUUGACUUCAAAACAGUUAGCACGUAGAAUAGAGUCAUUCAACUAUGGUUACACUGAGAGGAGAAAUCGCCCACCUGCAGUUAAGUUAAAUGAUGGAAGUAAUGAUUUGGGCCUGAAUGCCAUCCAGUCGUGGUGUUUGUUGCGCAACAUGCCAUUAAUAUUUGGUGAUUUAAUAGAGAGCGACAAUGAAUACUGGCAUCUUUUACUGUUGCUUGAGCAGAUAGUGGAUAUUGUUUUCUCUCCAGUCAUAACAUAUGGCAUGACCAUCUUUUUGAAGCACAUAAUUGUUGACCAUCACCGGCUUUUUAAGCACCUGUUUCCUGAUAGAAAUCUCUUGCCUAAGCAUCACUUUAUGUUACACUAUCCUAGAUGUAUAAGGAAUAUUGGACCAAUUGUGCACACAUGGUGCAUGCGUUAUGAGGCUAAGCAUAAAUUUUUCAAGACUCAACUAAAAAGUUACAAAAACAUCACAAAGACUUUAGCUAAAAAGCAUCAGAGAUAUAUGGCCAUGUGUUGGGAAUCUUUUACCCAGUGCAGAUUAACAAUUGGUCCAGGAAAAUGGUGCAGCUUCAAGAUUUAAAAGAAGGUCCAGAGUUUGCGGUCAAAUUAAACUCUGCAUUAUCAACAACUGUCUUGUCUGUGAGGUGGGUAAAGCACUAUGGCACUGAAUAUCGCCCUGACUUAUUAGUAUGUGUGGAGGUAACUGAUGAGAUGCCAGUAUUUUGUAAAAUUAAGACUAUAUUAGUGAAAGAUGAGCAGAUUUUACUCAGUGGCACUGCUGUUGAAACCAUUUGCUUUGACAAACAUUUUCAUUCAUUUAAAAUUGUGUUUAGGCCAAUUCAGACACUUAAGGUAUUCAGUGUUAAAGACUUGCUGUAUUAAAAAACAAUGGAUGUUCAAAUGGCAUAUGGAUCAGCAGAUUCUUCACUUUUUAUAGUUCCAUACUGCCAUCUAAUGAAGCUUUGACCAGAAAGUUCUAAAGAUUUGAAUGUUUGUUGGCUAACAUUUCACUAUGUAUUUGGUACAUUACCAAAAUCUGACUGUUAUACUGCUGCUUUUAAUCGGUCAGCACAGUAAAAUGUUGGUUCUGUCAUUGAUAUUGUUAGUUUUACAUGCUGCACUGUUGAACGUGAAAUAUGUUUAGCACAUAAGUAUAUACCAAGUAUAAUGUGUGUGUAUAAUUAGGUAGGUAAGUUUACAGAAAAUACCAUGUCUUCAGGGCUUUUAAUUUUGUUAUACAACUGUGAAAAUGUUAUUUGAACAUAUCAAAACCCGGUGGGUUAAUGUUUUUAUUUAUGCUUUUAAUAAAAUAGAGACAUGGA
Betta splendens (Siamese fighting fish) is the source of this 3568-nucleotide long non-coding RNA. RefSeq lists it as uncharacterized. Lineage: Eukaryota; Metazoa; Chordata; Actinopteri; Anabantiformes; Osphronemidae. The transcript is spliced from 2 exons. The record is from RefSeq and is a predicted model, not a curated record.